RNAcentral lists this ribosomal RNA (86 nucleotides) under Shewanella fodinae. The record is from RNAcentral. Lineage: Bacteria; Pseudomonadati; Pseudomonadota; Gammaproteobacteria; Alteromonadales; Shewanellaceae.
GACUCCAUCCCGAACUCAGAAGUGAAACACAAUCGCGCCGAUGGUAGUGUGGGGUCUCCCCAUGUGAGAGUAGGUCAUCGCCAAGC